GNUCCGCCUGGGGAGUACGCACGCAAGUGUGAAACUCAAAGGAAUUGACGGGGANCCGCACAAGCGGUGGAGCAUGUGGUUUANUUCGACGCAACGCGAGAANCCUUACCAGCGUUUGACAUCCUAAGAAGUUUCUAGAGAUAGAUUCGUGCCGGCUUGCCGGAACUUAGUGACAGGUGGUGCAUGGCUGUCGUCAGCUUGUGUCGUGAGAUGUUGGGUUAAGUCCCGCAACGAGCGCAACCCCUAUUGUAUGUUGCUACCAUUAAGUUGAGCNCNCNNNNNNAUACUGCCUGCGAUGAGCAGGAGGAAGGUGGGGAUGACGUCAAGUCAUCAUGCCCCUUAUACGCUGGGCUACACACGUGCUACAAUGGGCAGUACAGAGAGUUGCCAACCCGCGAGGGUGAGCUAAUCUCUUAAAGCUGUUCUUAGUUCGGAUUGUACUCUGCAACUCGAGUACAUGAAGUUGGAAUCGCUAGUAAUCGCAAAUCAGCAUGUUGCGGUGAAUACGUUCUCGGGUCUUGUACACACCGCCCGUCACACCACGAGAGUUGGUUGCACCUGAAGUAGCAGGCCUAACCGUAAGGAGGGAUGUUCCUAAGGUGUGAUUAGCGAUUGGGGUG
RNAcentral lists this ribosomal RNA (620 nucleotides) under uncultured prokaryote. RNAcentral describes it as "bacterial SSU rRNA". It matches the Rfam family "Bacterial small subunit ribosomal RNA", at positions 866 to 1482 of the family's 1533-position model. The record is from RNAcentral.